ACGCUAGCGGCAGGCCUAACACAUGCAAGUCGAACGGUAACAGAUCUAGCUUGCUAGAUGCUGACGAGUGGCGCACGGGUGCGUAACGCGUAUACAAUCUACCUUUAACUGAGGGAUAGCCCAGAGAAAUUUGGAUUAAUACCUCAUAGUAUUAUAAUUAGGCAUCUUUUUAUAAUUAAAACUUCGGUGGUUAAAGAUGAGUAUGCGUACUAUUAGCUAGUUGGUAAGGUAAAAGCUUACCAAGGCAACGAUAGUUAGGGGGCCUGAAAGGGUGAUCCCCCACACUGGUACUGAGACACGGACCAGACUCCUACGGGAGGCAGCAGUGAGGAAUAUUGCACAAUGGAGGAAACUCUGAUGCAGCCAUGCCGCGUGCAGGAAGAAUGCCCUAUGGGUUGUAAACUGCUUUUAUACAAGAAGAAACCUCGGUACGUGUACCGACUUGACGGUAUGUAUGAAUAAGCAC
RNAcentral lists this ribosomal RNA (466 nucleotides) under uncultured Bacteroidota bacterium. RNAcentral describes it as "bacterial SSU rRNA". It matches the Rfam family "Bacterial small subunit ribosomal RNA", at positions 33 to 493 of the family's 1533-position model. The record is from RNAcentral. Lineage: Bacteria; Pseudomonadati; Bacteroidota.